CUCAGGAUGAACGCUAGCGGCAGGCUUAACACAUGCAAGUCGAGGGGUAGAGGAAGCUUGCUUCCUUGAGACCGGCGCACGGGUGCGUAACGCGUAUGCAACUACCUUUUACAGAGGGAUAGCCCAGAGAAAUUUGGAUUAAUACCUCAUGGUAUAUAUCAUUCGCAUGUUUGAUAUAUUAAAGUUCCAACGGUAAAAGAUGGGCAUGCGUCCUAUUAGCUAGAUGGUAAGGUAACGGCUUACCAUAGCAACGAUAGGUAGGGGUCCUGAGAGGGAGAUCCCCCACACUGGUACUGAGACACGGACCAGACUCCUACGGGAGGCAGCAGUGAGGAAUAUUGGUCAAUGGGCGCAAGCCUGAACCAGCCAUGCCGCGUGCAGGAUGACGGUCCUAUGGAUUGUAAACUGCUUUUGUACAGGAAGAAACACUCCCUCGUGAGGGAGCUUGACGGUACUGUAAGAAUAAGGAUCGGCUAACUCCGUG
RNAcentral lists this ribosomal RNA (484 nucleotides) under uncultured bacterium. Its description in RNAcentral is "bacterial SSU rRNA". It matches the Rfam family "Bacterial small subunit ribosomal RNA", at positions 23 to 507 of the family's 1533-position model. The record is from RNAcentral.